This 253-nucleotide ribosomal RNA is filed under the name uncultured bacterium. RNAcentral's name for it is "partial 16S ribosomal RNA". It matches the Rfam family "Bacterial small subunit ribosomal RNA", at positions 524 to 776 of the family's 1533-position model. The record is from RNAcentral.
UACGUGAGGGGCAAACGUUGUUCGGUGUCACUGGGCUUAAAGGGCGCGUAGGUGGCUAUGUAAGUAAGGUGUGAAAGCCCUCGGCUUACCCGGGGAAUUGCGCCUUAAACUGCAUGGCUUGAGGAUCAGAGAGGUUGGAGGAACUCCAGGUGUAGCGGUGAAAUGCGUAGAUAUCUGGGGGAACACCGGUGGCGAAGGCGGCAUCCUGGACCGGUAUUGACGCUGAGGAGCGAAAGCCAGGGGAGCAAACGGG